RNAcentral lists this unclassified non-coding RNA (345 nucleotides) under soil metagenome. Its description in RNAcentral is "partial contains 5.8S ribosomal RNA, internal transcribed spacer 2, and large subunit ribosomal RNA". The stretch from base 1 to 120 matches the Rfam family "5.8S ribosomal RNA", at positions 35 to 154 of the family's 154-position model. The record is from RNAcentral.
GAUGAAGAACGUAGCGAAAUGCGAUACGUAAUGUGAAUUGCAGAAUUCAGUGAAUCAUCGAGUCUUUGAACGCACAUUGCGCCCCCUGGUAUUCCGGGGGGCAUGCCUGUCCGAGCGUCAUUGCUGCCCUCAAGCACGGCUUGUGUGUUGGGCCUCCGUCCUCCUCCCGGGGGACGGGCCCGAAAGGCAGCGGCGGCACCGCGUCCGGUCCUCGAGCGUACGGGGCUUCGUCACCCGCUCUUGUAGGCCCGGCCGGCGCUUGCCGACACAUCAAUCUUUUUUCCAGGUUGACCUCGGAUCAGGUAGGGAUACCCGCUGAACUUAAGCAUAUCAAUAAGCGGAGGA